AUGCUCCUGAAGAUGGGGUGUGGGGGUUAUCGUUCUCGCGUACUCCUGGCGCACUCGACACCGGUGAUCCCCACACGCCGGCCUGCUUUGAAGACGACGACGCCGGGGUUGCCUUUCAUGUGCAGCCCCCGGCGAGCCCUUCAUGCCAGACUCAUCACCGGCGACCCCUUCACGCCGGACUCACCACCGGCGACGACGCGCCGGGGUUGCCAUUCAUGUGCAGCCCCCGGCGACCCCUUCAUGCCGGACUCACCACCGGCGACGACGCGCCGGGGUUGCCAUUCGUGUGCAGCCCCCGGCGACCCCUUCACGCUGGACUCAUCACCGGCGAUGAUGCGCCGGCAUUGCCCAUCUUGUGUGCCGCCCCCUUCUACCUACACCAUCGGCGGUGCCCAGACAAGGCUCCGGCACAUCGUGAGGCCUUAUUUGUCCCCGUCUCGCCGAGUCCAUGGUGGCGCCAUGGGCUUGCCGGGAGUCGGCGACAUUUGUUAUCCGACUGGGCGCCAUCUAGUGCGCCACCUCUUCUACCUACACCAUCGGCGGCGCCUGGGCGAGGCUCCGCCGCAUCGCGGGGUCUCCCUUGCCUUUGUCUCGCUGGUCCAUGGAGGCGCCAUGGGCUUGCCGGGACUUGACGACGUAGGCCGUUCGACGCCCUGGCGUGGCGCGGCGCUCGACGAGUCGACGGCUCGUCGUAACCUUGGAGGCGGCACGGCACUCGACGAGUCACGAUGA
Molecule: ribosomal RNA, 732 nt
Filed under: Triticum aestivum (bread wheat)
Lineage: Eukaryota; Viridiplantae; Streptophyta; Magnoliopsida; Poales; Poaceae
Description: partial small subunit ribosomal RNA
Source: RNAcentral